UAUUUUGGGGGUGUGAGAAGGAAAAACCUAUAGGUCCCAAUUUAGGCCCCAAUUUAGCCAGACAAACCUAGAAUCGAUGGCGAUUGAUGGAUUUCGGAGAAAUUAGGGUUGGAUUUCGGUGAAUAGGAUUGGUGAAGCAGAUGUAAGAGAGGGGUCUUGUGAUCGAUAGAUUCUGAUGCUGUGAAGAAUAUAUGAUUAGAAUUCAGAUUUCUGCUGCUGAUUCAUGGCGAGAAAGUGAUGAAGAACUGAAGAUUAAAUAGGGAUUUCUUCUGGUGAUUGAGUUACAGAGAUGGGUUCAAUUGAUUUUAGGGGUUUGAACUGAUUUUGGUUCAGCAACUGAUGAUGAUUUAGGGGUUUGUAGAAGAUGGAUUUAUGCUCGAAUUUUGAAAAGAAGAAUUGGCAGUUUAUGUUUGCAAUUGGGUCAUUCUCAGAUUUCGGUAACUUUGGCUUCAUGGAAAGAAAAGUUACGAAGUAUGCUGGAGCAGCAACCAUGUAUUUUGUGUCAAAGAAACUGAAAAAGAAACAUAACAUCACUGACGAGCGUGCAGCGCUAUAUGAAGCUGCAAACACAUGGGUGGAGGCUCUGAAAGGGCAUGACUUUCUGGAUUCCUACAGUUCCAUUUCAAAUUAUUGCCUAGUAGCUUGACAUACAUUUCAGUUUAGUCAUGGAAAAACAAAUUUGAACAGUUCCGUUAAUAAAACAAUGUUUGUUUGCAGGGGGGUGCUACCUCAAACCUAUGAGACCUUGCUGUGUAUGGGGUUCUGAGACCCAUCAGAUACCUGACAUCGGGGAAAGAUAUGGUGGAGCACACACAGAUUGGUGAGUGGUACUCAAGGAUGGAAAAAGCUGUUGGAGAGUCUUCAAGGAAGAAGCCAGAGGCUUAAGUCAUUCUUUGAUUUGGAAAAUACAAACAAUGAACUCAAAAGUGAUAUCAAGGACAUUUACCUGGACUCAGCAGUGCAAGAAGAGAAGCUUGAUGCCGGUCAAAGUGUGGGUUGGAUGGCUGUGAUGCUGAAGACUUAAGAGUUUAGGAAUGAUUAGGAGGUUUGGAAUGAUGCCAGUCAAAGUGUGGGUUGGAUGCCGAGCAAACAUAGUUACGUCGAUCUCUUGAAAAGUGUGCACUUCACAGUUUGUGGCCACAUCUCCUGCAAUGCGUUUAUGUCUCGAUCAACUACAGGCUUUCGGUCGUUGUUAAAAGUGCAUGGGGUCGUGAUGAUAGCAAGGUGUUGAUUCCUGCUACGGUUAUUCUUCGGUUUAUGUUCACGCCUGCUGAAAUGAGGACCAAGCUGAAGUCAUAUGUUGAGGAGGAAUGCGUGAAACUUGGUCCAAUAGAGCUAGUUAAGUUUGUAGUCUGUAUGGCAUUAAAAAUUGCAUCCAAAGUCGCUUAGUUCAGACCCAUUUGCAUACUUAGAAGCAGAACAGAAAGAUCUGAUGAAGUACUGUGUAGCUGCUUCUUCUUGGAAGAGAGAGCUCCUACGAGAGUUCACAAAUUCUGAAGAUGCUUAGCUGCUGUCGCUUUGGAUUCCAUUCGCUUCACAAAUUCUGCUUCAAAUGCAGCAAUCCGCGGCAUGAGAAGGAUGUUAUGUGAGUCAUGUUUCUGUGCAUGUUAGUCUGCGACAUGAGAACUUUGAAAUAGGUUAGGAACUUAAGGACUGUUAUGUGAGUUCUGCAUCUGUUAGUGUUAUCAUAUAUGCUCUUUAAGUUCUAAACAGAUAUUGUAUGAGCUUUAAGCCACUGAAAACUUAGAAUUCUCAUAAGUUUCUAACCAUCCAUUGUGUUCCCUCAAAACAUAGGAAUUCUUUGAAGUUGUUCUUGUUGAAAGAAUAAGACUAAUUACAGUUGUUAAAUGUGUGACUAAAUACAGUUGAAUUGAAUGAAAGAUCUUUGCAGGAAAUUAUUAUUGAA
This is a long non-coding RNA of Papaver somniferum (opium poppy), 1906 nucleotides long. RefSeq lists it as uncharacterized. The transcript is spliced from 10 exons. Lineage: Eukaryota; Viridiplantae; Streptophyta; Magnoliopsida; Ranunculales; Papaveraceae. The record is from RefSeq and is a predicted model, not a curated record.